Molecule: ribosomal RNA, 497 nt
Filed under: uncultured bacterium
Lineage: Bacteria
Description: partial 16S ribosomal RNA
Rfam family: Bacterial small subunit ribosomal RNA
Source: RNAcentral
GAUGAACGCUGGCGGCGUGCCUAAUACAUGCAAGUCGAGCGAACAGACGAGGAGCUUGCUCCUCUGACGUUAGCGGCGGACGGGUGAGUAAAACGUGGAGAACCUACCUAUAAGACUGGGAUAAGUUAGGGGAACCGGAGCUAGUACCGGAUUAUAUAUUGAACCGCAUGGUUCGAUAGUGAAAGACGGUUUUGCUGGCCCUUAUACAUGGAUCCGCGCCGGAUUAGCUAGUUGGUAAGGUAACGGCUUACCAAGGCGACGAUGCGUAGCCGACCUGAGAGGGUGAUCGGCCACACUGGAACUGAGACACGGUCCAGACUCCUACGGGAGGCAGCAGUAGGGAAGCUUCCGCAAUGGGCGAAAGCCUGACGGAGCAACGCCGCGUGAGUGAUGAAGGUCUUCGGAUCGUAUAACUCUGUUAUUAGUGAAGACCAAAUGUGUAAGUAACUAUGCACGUCUUGACGGUACCUAAACAGAAAGCCACGGCUAACUACGUG